Molecule: ribosomal RNA, 253 nt
Filed under: uncultured bacterium
Lineage: Bacteria
Description: partial 16S ribosomal RNA
Rfam family: Bacterial small subunit ribosomal RNA
Source: RNAcentral
UACGGAGGGUGCAAGCGUUGUUCGGAAUUACUGGGCGUAAAGCGCACGUAGGCGGGUCUGUAUGUCGAUUGUGAAAUCCCCGGGCUUAACCUGGGAAUUGCAGUCGAAACUGCAGAUCUUGAAUGUUUGAGAGGAUGGCGGAAUUCCUGGUGUAGUAGUGAAAUACGUAGAUAUCAGGAAGAACACCCGAGGCGAAGGCGGCUAUCUGGUGAUACAUUGACGCUGAGGUGCGAAAGCGUGGGGAGCAAACAGG